RNAcentral lists this ribosomal RNA (433 nucleotides) under uncultured bacterium. Its description in RNAcentral is "partial 16S ribosomal RNA". It matches the Rfam family "Bacterial small subunit ribosomal RNA", at positions 29 to 507 of the family's 1533-position model. The record is from RNAcentral.
AACGAACGCUGGCGGCAGGCCUAACACAUGCAAGUCGAGCGAGGACUUCGGUCCUAGCGGCGGACGGGUGAGUAACGCGUGGGAACGUGCCCUUUGCUUCGGAAUAUCCCUUGGAAACUGGGAGUAAUACCGGAUGAGCCCUUUGGGGGAAAGAUUUAUCGUCGAAGGAUCGGCCCGCGUUGUAUUAGUUAGUUGGUGGGGUAAUGGCCUACGAAGCCUACAAUCCAUAGAUGGUUUGAGAGGAUGAUCAGCCACACUGGGAAUGAGACCCGUCCCAGACGCCUACGGGAAGCAGCAGUGGGGAAUCUUAGACAAUGGAGCAAACCCUGCUCUAGCCAUGCGGCGUGAGCGAUGAAGGCCUUAGGGUUGUAAAGCUCUUUCAGCUGGGAAGAUAAUGACGGUACCAACAGAAGAAGCCCCGGCUAAAUCCGUG